UACGGAGGGAGCUAGCGUUGUUCGGAAUUACUGGGCGUAAAGCGCGCGUAGGCGGUUUUUUAAGUCAGAGGUGAAAGCCUGGAGCUCAACUCCAGAACUGCCUUUGAAACUGGAAAACUUGAAUCUUGGAGAGGUCAGUGGAAUUCCGAGUGUAGAGGUGAAAUUCGUAGAUAUUCGGAGGAACACCAGUGGCGAAGGCGGCUUACUGGACCAUUGUUGACGCUGAGGCACGAAAGCGUGGGGAGCAAACAGG
Molecule: ribosomal RNA, 253 nt
Filed under: uncultured Sphingomonadaceae bacterium
Lineage: Bacteria; Pseudomonadati; Pseudomonadota; Alphaproteobacteria; Sphingomonadales; Sphingomonadaceae
Description: partial 16S ribosomal RNA
Rfam family: Bacterial small subunit ribosomal RNA
Source: RNAcentral